This 539-nucleotide ribosomal RNA is filed under the name uncultured archaeon. RNAcentral describes it as "bacterial SSU rRNA". It matches the Rfam family "Archaeal small subunit ribosomal RNA", at positions 460 to 997 of the family's 1478-position model. The record is from RNAcentral.
AGCCGCCGCGGGAACACCGGCGGCCCGAGUGGUGAUCGUGAUUAUUGGGUCUAAAGGGUCCGUAGCCGGUUGGUCAGUCCUCCGGGAAAUCUGAUAGCUCAACUAUUAGGCUUUCGGGGGAUACUGCCAGACUUGGAACCGGGAGAGGUAAGAGGUACUACAGGGGUAGGAGUGAAAUCUUGUAAUCCCUGUGGGACCACCUGUGGCGAAGGCGUCUUACCAGAACGGGUUCGACGGUGAGGGACGAAAGCUGGGGGCACGAACCGGAUUAGAUACCCGGGUAGUCCCAGCCGUAAACGAUGCUCGCUAGGUGUCAGGCAUGGCGCGACCGUGUCUGGUGCCGCAGGGAAGCCGUGAAGCGAGCCACCUGGGAAGUACGGCCGCAAGGCUGAAACUUAAAGGAAUUGGCGGGGGAGCACAACAAACCGGGUGGAGCCUGCGGUUUAAUUGGACUCAACGCCGGACAACUCACCGGGGGCGACAGCAAUAUGUAGGCCAAGCUGAAGACUUUGCCUGAAUCGCUGAGGGGAGGUGCAUGG